UUUCCAGACUCCUACGGGAGGCAGCAGUGGGGAAUAUUGGACAAUGGGGGGAACCCUGAUCCAGCGACGCCGCGUGAGUGAAGAAGUAUUUCGGUAUGUAAAGCUCUAUCAGCAGGGAAGAAAGAAAUGACGGUACCUGAAUAAGAAGCCCCGGCUAACUACGUGCCAGCAGCCGCGGUAAUACGUAGGGGGCAAGCGUUAUCCGGAUUUACUGGGUGUAAAGGGAGCGUAGACGGCCAGACAAGUCUGAAGUGAAAAUCCAGCGCUUAACGCUGGAAGUGCUUUGGAAACUGCCGGGCUGGAGUGCAGGAGGGGCAGGCGGAAUUCCUAGUGUAGCGGUGAAAUGCGUAGAUAUUAGGAGGAACACCAGUGGCGAAGGCGGCCUGCUGGACUGCAACUGACGUUGAGGCUCGAAGGCGUGGGGAGCAAACAGGAUUAGAUACCCUCGUAA
Molecule: ribosomal RNA, 451 nt
Filed under: uncultured bacterium
Lineage: Bacteria
Description: partial 16S ribosomal RNA
Rfam family: Bacterial small subunit ribosomal RNA
Source: RNAcentral